Molecule: ribosomal RNA, 452 nt
Filed under: uncultured Sphingobium sp.
Lineage: Bacteria; Pseudomonadati; Pseudomonadota; Alphaproteobacteria; Sphingomonadales; Sphingobiaceae
Description: partial 16S ribosomal RNA
Source: RNAcentral
CACGGAGUUAGCCGGAGCUUAUUCUCCCGAUACUGUCAUUAUCAUCUCGGGUAAAAGAGCUUUACAACCCUAAGGCCUUCAUCACUCACGCGGCAUUGCUGGAUCAGGGUUGCCCCCAUUGUCCAAUAUUCCCUACUGCUGCCUCCCGUAGGAGUCUGGGCCGUGUCUCAGUCCCAGUGUGGCUGAUCAUCCUCUCAGACCAGCUAAGGAUCGUAGCCUUGGUGAGCCUUUACCUCACCAACUAGCUAAUCCUACGCGGGCUCAUCCCUGGGCGAUAAAUCUUUGGACUUUCGUCAUCAUCCGGUAUUAGCGUCAGUUUCCCGACGUUAUUCCGAACCCAAGGGCAGAUUCCCACGCGUUACGCACCCGUGCGCCACUAGACCCGAAGAUCUCGUUCGACUUGCAUGUAUUAGGCAUGCCGCCAGCGUUCGUUCUGAGCCAGGAUCAAACUC